GGCUCUCAACAGACACCGAGUCUGCUGGAAGCUCUUGGACCUCCAGCCUCCAGAACUGAAGCCAUAUAUUGCAAAUGCACAAUAAUUUUAUACCACACGGUAUGCGUGUCUGGAAGAAGGCAUGCAGGGGAGGAAAAACUGAUCCAAGACAUUGCUGAGAACCCCUGACCUUGCUCCUUACUACACAACGGCUGCAAGCCUUCAUUAAAGACAAUGGUUACAGUUGUGAAAUCGGACUGAACUCAACUUGGCCAACUACAAGAGAGAGAGUACAUGUGAGCAGUGGAG
Molecule: long non-coding RNA, 288 nt
Organism: Hyaena hyaena (striped hyena)
Lineage: Eukaryota; Metazoa; Chordata; Mammalia; Carnivora; Hyaenidae
Exons: 3
Source: RefSeq, a predicted model, not a curated record